This 497-nucleotide ribosomal RNA is filed under the name uncultured bacterium. RNAcentral describes it as "partial 16S ribosomal RNA". It matches the Rfam family "Bacterial small subunit ribosomal RNA", at positions 28 to 507 of the family's 1533-position model. The record is from RNAcentral.
GAUGAACGCUGGCGGCGUGCCUAAUACAUGCAAGUCGAGCGAACAGACGAGGAGAUUGCGCCCCUGACGUUAGCGGCGGACGGGUGAGUAACACGUGGAUAACCUACCUAUAAGACUGGGAUAACUUCGGGAAACCGGAGAUAAUACCGGAUAAUAUAUUGAACCGCAUGGUUCAAUAGUGAAAGACGGUUUUGCUGUCACUUAUAGAUGGAUCCGCGCCGCAUUAGCUAGUUGGUAAGGUAACGGCUUACCAAGGCAACGAUGCGUAGCCGACCUGAGAGGGUGAUCAGCCACACUGGAACUGAGACACGGUCCAGACUCCUACGGGAGGCAGCAGUGGGGAAUCUUGCACAAUGGGCGAAAGCCUGACGCAGCAAUACCGCGUGGGUGAUGAAGGUCUUCGGAUCGUAAAGCUCUGUUAUUAGGGAAGAACAAAUGUGUAAUUAUCUAUGGCUGUCUUGACGGUACCUAAACAGUAAGCCACGGCUAACUUCGUG